AUCAUUGUGACCUCACAGUUCAGACAGCAUCGGUCCCCUGUGGGGGCCACCUUUCCAGCCCCUCCUCCCAGCAGAGGAUCCCAGUGCCCUCCUGGCCUGAAGGCCCUGCAGGCCUGGCCUUCCCAACUUCCUCUCUGCCCUUGUCCCCCGUCGUCCCUCUAGUUGGCCUGGCCCUCCCAACUUCCUCUCUGCCCUUGUCCCCCGUCGUCCCCCUAGUUGGCCUGGCCCUCCCAACCUCCUCUCUGCCCUUGUCCCCCGUCGUCCCCCUAGCUGGAGGGUGCCCCAGCCUGGCUGACCUCAGUUCUUGUCCCCAGCACACACAACUCUUCCCAGCCUCAAGGCCUUCACCUGGCUGUGCCGCUGCCUGCAAUGUUCCUCCCCAGUCUUGUCAGGGCUGGCUCCUGGGGAGAAGAUCUCUGCUCAGAUGUCACUUCCCCGGAAGGGCCUUCCACGGCCACCCACGUCGUGUCUCCCCACGCCUGCCCCCACACUCGCUAGCCCGCCGUCCCCUCUUCCUGCUUCCGUCCUCCACAGCAGUCAUCACCAUCUGAUAUUCCUGUGUAUGCAUCGGUUUGCCUUUCUGGCUCCUGGUUUUGCUCUGCCUCCCCGCUGGAAGCUACUUGGAAGGCUGAGACAGGAGAAUUUCUUGAAUCCAGAAGGCAGAGGUUGCAGUGAGCCAAGAUCAUGCCAAUGCGCUCCAGCCUGGGCGACAGAGUGAAACUCCAAGUGAAUAAAUGAAUUGUGAGUGCAUGAAAAGCCAGGGGAAGGGGCCUGAGCAUCUCCUUCAGGGGUACCUGCCAAGGCGGAGUCCUGGAACCCCUGCCCAGAACUGCUCGUGGAGGGCAUCUGCGUUAGUCCCCUGCUCCCCAGCGCUGCCAGCCCCUGCCUCAGAUCUCUUACCCAACCGCAUCGCUUCCACUUGGCAAGGUAGAUGGCCCAUGUACUGGGAGUACUACAUGGUAGGAUCCCUGGGAGGGUGCCCCUGGGUGUCCUCCUGGAUCUCUUUCUGGUGUGAAAUAGGGCGCUCUCUUGGCUUCUUCAGUUGAACACCUGUGUGACCAGCUCUGUCAUCAGAUAUGUUUUGUAAUUAAAGGCUACUCUGUCCUAAUAUUUCGGGAAUGUGCUGUGAUUGGCCUUUAGGCAAAGACGUGAGGCCCGGAGUGUACAGCCAAUGGUUGUCACACACAGUAUCCCCCCAAGAGAAACCUGCAGCCCAGCAGCUCGGCUGCAGUACAGAGACCCCCAACCUGGCAGAGGCCUUGACACAAAACAGUUUUGCACCAAAUGAUGCAUACGUGAAGGCACAAUGAAGUGAACAGCAAGCGUUCAAGGAAAAGGCCUUGCAUGG
RNAcentral lists this long non-coding RNA (1348 nucleotides) under Homo sapiens (human). Its description in RNAcentral is "HSALNT0363606". Lineage: Eukaryota; Metazoa; Chordata; Mammalia; Primates; Hominidae. The record is from RNAcentral.